Non-coding RNA from Zonotrichia albicollis (white-throated sparrow), 468 nucleotides. NCBI's taxonomy places the organism in Eukaryota, Metazoa, Chordata, Aves, Passeriformes, Passerellidae. The record is from RefSeq and is a predicted model, not a curated record.
GACACCAGGUUGUCAUCAGAAAUCUCACCAUCACUUCUUCACCUGCUCAUGUGGUACCCAGCUGUGCCUUGCUGGCCCUGCUUUUGCCUGGAGUGUGAGAUUUGCUGUUCAGAGUGAAGGGGAUGAUUUUCACCAACUGUAAUGUUUUAAGCUGACAUAAUAGUCUUGCUCUAAAGGAAAACCAGUUAAAAAGCAGACUGGGAGCAGCAAUACCAGCUUGUCACCAAAACUGCUCUCCUUAGGACAUUACUGACUGUGUGUCCAAGAGGAUCCCAUCAGCAGCCCAAGGGGGAAAUGCUGUUCAGAAAAUCACAGGAUGAUGCCUUGCAGCUCUCACUUGUUCUGAGGACACCCAUGAUCUCCAUCAGUUUUCUCAGGCCUUUUUAAUGGGAUGACAUAAAGUCAGAUUUUUCUGCAUGUUCUGCAUUCUCUGCUUUCUUAAUGGCAAGAACUGCUGUGGAAAGUUGG